RNAcentral lists this ribosomal RNA (404 nucleotides) under Actinomycetes bacterium. Its description in RNAcentral is "Actinobacteria bacterium partial 16S ribosomal RNA". It matches the Rfam family "Bacterial small subunit ribosomal RNA", at positions 355 to 776 of the family's 1533-position model. Lineage: Bacteria; Bacillati; Actinomycetota; Actinomycetes. The record is from RNAcentral.
UGGGGAAUAUUGGACAAUGGGCGCAAGCCUGAUCCAGCCAUGCCGCGUGAGUGAUGAAGGCCCUAGGGUUGUAAAGCUCUUUCACCGGUGAAGAUAAUGACGGUAACCGGAGAAGAAGCCCCGGCUAACUUCGUGCCAGCAGCCGCGGUAAUACGAAGGGGGCUAGCGUUGUUCGGAUUUACUGGGCGAAAAGCGCACGUAGGCGGACUUUUAAGUCAGGGGUGAAAUCCCGGGGCUCAACCCCGGAACUGCCUUUGAUACUGGAAGUCUUGAGUAUGGUAGAGGUGAGUGGAAUUCCGAGUGUAGAGGUGAAAUUCGUAGAUAUUCGGAGGAACACCAGUGGCGAAGGCGGCUCACUGGACCAUUACUGACGCUGAGGUGCGAAAGCGUGGGGAGCAAACAGG